CUACUUAAUGUUUCAUAAUUAUUAGAUAGUUUCAGCUUAUCUUUGAUAAGAGAUUGAUUUUCUUCUUUUAGAACUUUAUUUUUAUUGAUCAGUUUUUUGUGUUCUUCCAUGAGUUCUAAAAAUGCAUCAUGUAAUUCAUCAACAGUAAAAUCACAUUCAAGUUCAGAAUCUACCUCAUCGUCAUUGGCCAUAUGGCAAAUUUGGGCCGUCUCUUGAUGAUCUUCCUCUUCCGAACUUGACUCCUCACUUUCACUCCAUA
Molecule: long non-coding RNA, 259 nt
Filed under: Phoenix dactylifera (date palm)
Lineage: Eukaryota; Viridiplantae; Streptophyta; Magnoliopsida; Arecales; Arecaceae
Description: long non-coding RNA (PDAC_LNC018350)
Source: RNAcentral